Molecule: ribosomal RNA, 110 nt
Filed under: Pelotomaculum sp. PtaB.Bin104
Lineage: Bacteria; Bacillati; Bacillota; Clostridia; Eubacteriales; Desulfotomaculaceae
Source: RNAcentral
UGGUGACAAUGUCGGAGGGGAUACACCCGUUCCCAUCCCGAACACGGCAGUUAAGCCCUCUUGAGCCGAUGGUACUUGGGGCUUGCCCCUGGGAGAGUAGGUCGUUGCCA